Molecule: non-coding RNA, 574 nt
Filed under: Pongo abelii (Sumatran orangutan)
Lineage: Eukaryota; Metazoa; Chordata; Mammalia; Primates; Hominidae
Source: RNAcentral
GAUCCUCUCUGUUGUGAUUCAUCCCCCCCAGGCCCUACAGUUUCUCCUUCCUGACUCUUACAUUUCUUUGGAUGGCAUCACUAUUAAGCCUGUGGCUGACUGACAGCUCAACUUGGAGAAGGUGUUACCUGGGCCAGGUGGGGAAGGUAGGGUUGUUUGCAGAGCAAAGAAGUGAAGCCUAUUCAAUGUGAAAAAGAUGAGGGCGAAGACCUUUAUGAUGAUCCAAGUAAUGAACACACUGGAGAAAGUCAAACAGUCAAAACAAUGUCCCAGACUCCGUGAAGUUCCUGGGUAGAGAAGUAGACAGACGUACACCAUACCUAAUAAUUGGAGGUCCAAGAGAAUGAGAGAAUGGCAGAAAGAACUUUAGAGCAUGGGUAUGAUGGCUAGAGCUUGAGCAGCCAUUGUGGACAUCAGAUGAACCUGAAAGUGAAAACUAUGAGCUGAAUAUGACAAAGCAAAUAGAAAACUGGAUUCAUGAUGACACUGCAAAGCUGCCAGACCAGCUCUAGUCUGCUUCUCCCUAAUCUUCCUUACUAAGAGAGAGAAAUAAACUUCCAUCUUCUUCAAGGCA